Molecule: long non-coding RNA, 584 nt
Organism: Prionailurus viverrinus (fishing cat)
Lineage: Eukaryota; Metazoa; Chordata; Mammalia; Carnivora; Felidae
Exons: 3
Source: RefSeq, a predicted model, not a curated record
GCCACGGGAGCCAGCCGUGCCACAAAGGAUCCACAGAGCCCCUCAGCAUCAGCAGGGCUGUCCCUAUCCUCUGCAGGUACAUAUGCCUUGCACAUUAAGGAGACAAGUUCCCCGGCUCAGGAAAAUGCCCCAGGACUGCACAAAGACCCCGUGUCAGGCCCGAGGGAUACAGCCGGGAGCUGAUAGAGACCUGCCUCUGUGGAGCUCACCAUCGCUACCUUCUACAUUCAGACACGACAUCCCUUUAUAGGGAGACGCCCCGAGCGAGCUGAGCCAGCCGAGCCGGGAGUGGCAAACGGGAGCCCGAACGCGAGGACGCCUGAGCGCGCGCCGGAGCAGGCGCUGGAGCCCGGGCCGGAGCCGCGCGGGGCUCAGCGUGCCGAGCGGCGGGAACGCGAACCCGCGUGGGCGCUCGGCCAGGAACAAGACCUGGGCCCGGGCCUGGGCCUGACGCGAGGUGGGGCGACAGCGGGGCUCUCGAGCGCCUAGGGACUAGGUAGGGGCGGGGAAGUAGGAGCAGCGCCACCCCCCCCUCCCCUCCCGGGCCGGCCCCGAGUUAGCCUCACCCACCAGAGGUCAGAGAA